RNAcentral lists this unclassified non-coding RNA (361 nucleotides) under Hevea brasiliensis (rubber tree). The record is from RNAcentral. Lineage: Eukaryota; Viridiplantae; Streptophyta; Magnoliopsida; Malpighiales; Euphorbiaceae.
GCUUGUUCACUUCUCAGAGACAUGACAAAACAUGGGUGUGUACCAAAUUCAGUGAUUUACCAGAUUCUUAUUCAUGCUCUUUCAAAGUCUAAUCGAGUAAAUGAUGCGUUAAAACUUUUGGAGGAGAUGUUUCUUAUGGGUUGCAUGCCCGACGUCAAUACUUUCAAUGACAUUAUCCAUGGGCUUUGCCGAGCUGAUAGGAUUCAUGAGGCUGCAAAACUGGUUGAUCGGAUGCUUCUUCGAGGUUUCACCCCCGAUGCUAUAACUUAUGGCAUUCUGAUGCAUGCUUUAUGUCGAACAGGGCGAGUUGAUGAAGCAAAGGUUCUUCUCAACAAAGCACCUGAACAGAAUAAUGUCCUCU